Erinaceus europaeus (western European hedgehog) is the source of this 163-nucleotide small nuclear RNA. Its record names the gene U1. It matches the Rfam family "U1 spliceosomal RNA". From Rfam's summary of the family: U1 is a small nuclear RNA (snRNA) component of the spliceosome (involved in pre-mRNA splicing). Its 5' end forms complementary base pairs with the 5' splice junction, thus defining the 5' donor site of an intron. There are significant differences in sequence and secondary structure between metazoan and yeast U1 snRNAs, the latter being much longer (568 nucleotides as compared to 164 nucleotides in human). The record is from Ensembl. NCBI's taxonomy places the organism in Eukaryota, Metazoa, Chordata, Mammalia, Eulipotyphla, Erinaceidae.
UUACUUGCAGGCAGGUGAGAUACCAUGAGCAUGAAGGUGGUUUUCCCUGGGUGGGGCUUGCCCAUUCCACUCUUGAUGUGCUGAAUCCUGUGAUUUUCCCAAAUGUGGGAAACCUGACUGCAUAAUUUGUGGUAGCUGGGGACUGCACCAACUUUCUCCCCUG